GGCAGAGCGUCUGUCUUGUAAACAGAAGGUCCCUGGUUCGAUUCCAGCAUGAGGCA
RNAcentral lists this transfer RNA (56 nucleotides) under Angiostrongylus costaricensis. It matches the Rfam family "tRNA", at positions 17 to 71 of the family's 71-position model. From Rfam's summary of the family: Transfer RNA (tRNA) molecules are approximately 80 nucleotides in length. Their secondary structure includes four short double-helical elements and three loops (D, anti-codon, and T loops). Lineage: Eukaryota; Metazoa; Nematoda; Chromadorea; Rhabditida; Metastrongylidae. The record is from Rfam by way of RNAcentral.